This 396-nucleotide transfer-messenger RNA is filed under the name Anaerolineales. RNAcentral describes it as "PFL25 sp020346705 Standard tmRNA". It matches the Rfam family "transfer-messenger RNA". Rfam says of the family: Bacterial tmRNA, also known as 10Sa RNA or SsrA, is named for its dual tRNA and mRNA-like properties. Its role is to liberate the mRNA from a stalled ribosome. To accomplish this part of the tmRNA is used as a reading frame that ends in a translation stop signal. Lineage: Bacteria; Bacillati; Chloroflexota; Anaerolineae. The record is from RNAcentral. RNAcentral also lists the same sequence under 2 other names.
GGGGAUGACAGGCUUCGACGGAGGAGGCUGGUUCCGGAUUGCGAGCCGAGAGGCGCCGAUCUCGAAAAAUCAGCGCAACAAUUAAGUGCCAAACGCACUAACCUUUCUACUCUCCCCCUCGCCGCAUAGUCGGUGAGCUAAAGAGUAUGAUCCCAUAAGGGGUCACGUCCGUCUACCCCGAUCUCCGACCGGAGGUAGCCCGGGCGACACAAAGUCGGAGUGCCGCACGCCACACCACUAACCGUGCGAAAGAGGAUCUUAGGAUCUGAGUGGUUGGUUGGAUGAGUUCCUUUGUCGUUUGAGCCUCAUCUGACGACAAACUUCAAUCGACUACGCUCGUAGACAUUCGAGGACUUAAUCUUUCGGACGCGGGUUCGAGUCCCGCCAUCUCCACCU